Molecule: ribosomal RNA, 151 nt
Filed under: Exophiala heteromorpha
Lineage: Eukaryota; Fungi; Ascomycota; Eurotiomycetes; Chaetothyriales; Herpotrichiellaceae
Description: 5.8S ribosomal RNA
Rfam family: 5.8S ribosomal RNA
About the family: 5.8S ribosomal RNA (5.8S rRNA) is a component of the large subunit of the eukaryotic ribosome.
Source: RNAcentral
AACUUUCAACAACGGAUCUCUUGGGUCUGGCAUCUAUGAAAAAAACACCGAAAUGCGAUAAGUAAUGCGAAUUGCACAAUUCCAGUGAGUCAUCUAAUCUUUGAACGCACAUUGCGCCCUUUGGUAUUCCGAAAGGGAUGCCUGUUCUAGC